RNAcentral lists this ribosomal RNA (253 nucleotides) under uncultured bacterium. Its description in RNAcentral is "partial 16S ribosomal RNA". It matches the Rfam family "Bacterial small subunit ribosomal RNA", at positions 524 to 776 of the family's 1533-position model. The record is from RNAcentral.
UACGAAGGGGGCUAGCGUUGUUCGGAAUCACUGGGCGUAAAGGGCGCGUAGGCGGCUUUAUAAGUCGGGGGUGAAAGCCUGUGGCUCAACCACAGAAUUGCCUUCGAUACUGUAGAGCUUGAGACCGGAAGAGGUAAGUGGAACUGCGAGUGUAGAGGUGAAAUUCGUAGAUAUUCGGAGGAACACCAGUGGCGAAGGCGGCUCACUGGUCCAUUACUGACGCUGAGGUGCGAAAGCGUGGGGAGCAAACAGG